This 465-nucleotide ribosomal RNA is filed under the name Vreelandella stevensii. RNAcentral describes it as "partial 16S ribosomal RNA". It matches the Rfam family "Bacterial small subunit ribosomal RNA", at positions 338 to 795 of the family's 1533-position model. Lineage: Bacteria; Pseudomonadati; Pseudomonadota; Gammaproteobacteria; Oceanospirillales; Halomonadaceae. The record is from RNAcentral.
CCUACGGGGGGCUGCAGUGGGGAAUAUUGGACAAUGGGGGGAACCCUGAUCCAGCCAUGCCGCGUGUGUGAAGAAGGCCCUCGGGUUGUAAAGCACUUUCAGUGAGGAAGAACGCCUGGUGGUUAAUACCCAUCAGGAAAGACAUCACUCACAGAAGAAGCACCGGCUAACUCCGUGCCAGCAGCCGCGGUAAUACGGAGGGUGCGAGCGUUAAUCGGAAUUACUGGGCGUAAAGCGCGCGUAGGUGGCUUGAUAAGCCGGUUGUGAAAGCCCCGGGCUCAACCUGGGAACGGCAUCCGGAACUGGCAAGCUAGAGUGCAGGAGAGGAAGGUAGAAUUCCCGGUGUAGCGGUGAAAUGCGUAGAGAUCGGGAGGAAUACCAGUGGCGAAGGCGGCCUUCUGGACUGAUACUGACACUGAGGUGCGAAAGCGUGGGUAGCAAACAGGAUUAGAUACCCUUGUAGUC